This is a non-coding RNA of Danio rerio (zebrafish), 769 nucleotides long. The record is from RefSeq and is a predicted model, not a curated record. NCBI's taxonomy places the organism in Eukaryota, Metazoa, Chordata, Actinopteri, Cypriniformes, Danionidae.
GUCCAUGUCAAAUCCUCAGCGAUGUGGAGUCCAAGAAACUUGAAAGUGCUGACUCUCUCUACUGGCGUCCCGUUGAUGGCGAUAAGAGUGUGUGCUUUCUUCUAUCUCCUGAAAUCCACCACCAGCUUCUUGGUUUUGCUGGUGUUGAGCGAGAGGUGGUUUUCCGAGAAGGGUAUUCCUGCACAACUGGAGUGGCUGCACUCUCAGGACCGCAUUUUUAGGACCGCAUCUUUAGGACCCUAGUUUUUUGUGACAGCGUCACCUGUCGGAUUGGAUCAUGGAUGCGCUAAUGGACGACACGGAUGACAAGGAAAGUGCCAUCGUACAUCCUCUGGGUGUCUUGAGGAGCUGGUCUUUGGAUAAUGCUGAGCAGGUCUUUCUUUCUGUGAAGUAAAAGAAUUUAACAGACAGAUUUACAAACAACUGACGAAAGAAGGGAGACCAUUCAAUAGAGGCCUCUAGAGAUCGUAACCUGUGAAGAGAUGAUGCCACCAUAGAGGACUUCUAAAUGUAUCCAUAAUCCUGAAACAGACCGUAUCAUGAGCAGAUGCUGUGGUGGUCAUGGAGAAGUGGAGAGCAUGAGACUGAUUAAUGAAAGACCCCAGUGACAGAUGAGUGCCCACAUUGACCCUGUGGUCCAGCCUGAAAACCAGCUGGUGACCUACUCACACCUGCAGCUUCUCUACGAUGGACGCCCAGUGUUUGCCUCCAGCGCCUAGACUGCAGCUCUGCAUGUGAAGUGUGGCCAGAAGAGAAAUGGUUGUUCCCA